Chenopodium quinoa (quinoa) is the source of this 199-nucleotide long non-coding RNA. RefSeq lists it as uncharacterized. The record is from RefSeq and is a predicted model, not a curated record. NCBI's taxonomy places the organism in Eukaryota, Viridiplantae, Streptophyta, Magnoliopsida, Caryophyllales, Amaranthaceae. The transcript has 3 exons.
GCGCUUCGUGGAGCGGUCGAUUCCUCAUCACCAGACCAGGUUCUCCCGCGAGGUGGUUUCGGCUAUGGCACGAUGCAUAGAUGCCUUCCGGAGCCAACUCGUCUGGAUGAGGAACGCGGCUACCUGUCUUCGAGGCGACGCUGUCCGAGAGGGUUAGCCGAUUGCUUCUCACACCCGUACGAGGCCUGAGGGGCGGAGA